RNAcentral lists this non-coding RNA (864 nucleotides) under Microkayla saltator. RNAcentral's name for it is "partial 12S ribosomal RNA". It matches the Rfam family "Bacterial small subunit ribosomal RNA", at positions 397 to 1405 of the family's 1533-position model. Lineage: Eukaryota; Metazoa; Chordata; Amphibia; Anura; Craugastoridae. The record is from RNAcentral.
AGAUGAGCCUUAAAACCCUUUAAACACAUAGGCUUGGUCCUGACCUUAAAAUCGAUUCUUACUUAACUUACACAUGCAAGUUUCCGCACCCCCGUGAAGACGCCCUAAGAUCCCUUCCGGAGUUAGGAGCUGGUAUCAGGCGCAAAGAACUGCCCAAAACACCUAGCCAUGCCACACCCACAAGGGUUAACAGCAGUGAUUAACAUUAAACAUAAACGACAGUUUGAUUUAGUUAAAGUAAAAAGAGCCGGCAAAUCUAGUGCCAGCCGCCGCGGUUACACCAUGUGGCUCAAGUUGAUUUCGCCGGCGUAAAGCGUGACAAAAGCCUCUAACACUAUUAGGACUAAAACCGAAUUAAGCCGUGACAUGCUUGUCCGCUAAAAAAUUAUAACGAAAGUUAUCCUAAUCCAAUUAACUUGAACUCACGAUAGCUAAGACCYAAACUGGGAUUAGAUACCCCACUAUGCUUAGCCUUAAACUUUAACUCACACCUCCCCACGCCAGGGUACUACGAGCAACGCUUAAAACCCAAAGGACUUGACGGUACCCCACAUCCACCUAGAGGAGCCUGUCCUAUAAUUGAUAACCCCCGCUAAACCUUACCACUAUUAGUCUAUCAGCUUGUAUACUUCCGUCUUCAGCUUACCCCGUGAGCGCAAUUCAGUGAGCUUAAUGCCCCUCCACCAAUACGUCAGGUCAAAGUGCAGCUAAUAUAGUGGGCAGAGAUGGGCUACACUCUCUAACCUAGAGGAUACGAAAGACUAUGCUGAAACCAUACCUAAAGGCGGAUUUAGAAGUAAAAAGAAAAUAAAGAGUUCUUUUUAACCUGGCCCUGGGGUGUGUACACACCGCCCGUCACCCUCA